GGGGUCGACUGGUUUUGACAGCGAGUCGAAUUGAAUUGUAAGCAUGUCGAGCUAAGAAACUAAUGCUCGUAAAUAUCUGUUUCACCAUUUUUAAAUGGCGAGAAUAACUACGCUCUUGCUGCCUAAUCUGAAUUAUAGUAGGAUAUUGGCCUAGUUCCCACCAGGUGGGAAGGCGAGAUGUCUCUGGGAAGCCCUUGUUGACGGCGUCCCGAUUUGAGGCACCAUAAAAGUCAACAUAGAAACCAAACAGCUUCGGUGCGGUUUUAAAUUCUAAAGAGGCUAAGCGUGUAGUAGGCGGUUUUCGGCCGGCUACCCGAUGAAAAAUAAGCGAGAACUAAGCAUGUAGAAAGCAAUUUGAUUGCUUGUUUGGACGAGGGUUCGAGCCCCUCCGACUCCACUU
Molecule: transfer-messenger RNA, 400 nt
Filed under: Imtechella halotolerans K1
Lineage: Bacteria; Pseudomonadati; Bacteroidota; Flavobacteriia; Flavobacteriales; Flavobacteriaceae
Also listed under: 1 other name
Description: Flavobacterium sp. K1 transfer-messenger RNA
Rfam family: transfer-messenger RNA
About the family: Bacterial tmRNA, also known as 10Sa RNA or SsrA, is named for its dual tRNA and mRNA-like properties. Its role is to liberate the mRNA from a stalled ribosome. To accomplish this part of the tmRNA is used as a reading frame that ends in a translation stop signal.
Source: Rfam by way of RNAcentral